CCACCAUUCCCCUCUGCACAGAUGGUUUGUUGCUGCAAAUAGCUGUCCCCUGUUACCUGUGGGCCCUUUCUACCUAUAGCUGUGUGCUUAGCCUACAGAAGAGGCCAGCUGGAAGCACCAGGCAGUGAAAGCCGCAGGAGAGCCCUCAGACAACUCUGGAUGGGCGCUGUGGCAGGGAAAUGGAACCAGCUUUCUGCACAGUCUGCCCCAGCCAGAUCCGAGCCAUGGCUGGGGUCUUUCCAAGCGCAAUCAAAGUAAUAGAGUUCUUCACCAAAGAUCAAACAAGAUGACCUCUCCCUUGUAAGAAAUCAGUCGCCGA
Molecule: long non-coding RNA, 319 nt
Filed under: Fukomys damarensis (Damara mole-rat)
Lineage: Eukaryota; Metazoa; Chordata; Mammalia; Rodentia; Bathyergidae
Description: lncRNA (ENSFDAG00000031757.1)
Source: RNAcentral